Molecule: ribosomal RNA, 482 nt
Filed under: uncultured bacterium
Lineage: Bacteria
Description: partial 16S ribosomal RNA
Rfam family: Bacterial small subunit ribosomal RNA
Source: RNAcentral
AUUGAACGCUGGCGGCAUGCCUAAUACAUGCAAGUCGAACGGUAAUAGCUUUUCGGUUGCUGACCUGUCACGCACGGGAACGUAAUACAUCGGAACGUGGCCCGACGUGGUGGAUAAUGAGGCGACAGCUUUGCUAAUACCGCAUACGACCUAAGGCUGAAAGCAGUGGACGGUAAGGACAUGCGCUGUCGGAGCGGUCGAUGGCAGAUUAGGUAGUUGGUGGGAUAAGAGCUUACCAAGCCGACGAUCUGUAGCUGGUUUGAGAGGACGACCGGCCACACUGGGACUGAGACACGGCCCAGACUCCUACGGGAGGCAGCAGUGGGGAAUUUUGGACAAUGGGCGAAAGUCUGAUGCAGCAAUGCCGCGUGAAGGAUGAAGGCUUUCGGGUUGUAAACUGCUUUUGUACGGGAAGAAAGGGAUCUGGCUAAUACCUGGGGCACAUGACGGUACCGAAAGAGUAAGCACCGGCUAACUACGUG